Molecule: RNA transcript, 4398 nt
Organism: Labrus mixtus (cuckoo wrasse)
Lineage: Eukaryota; Metazoa; Chordata; Actinopteri; Labriformes; Labridae
Gene: stx3b
Gene name: syntaxin 3b
Exons: 10
Source: RefSeq, a predicted model, not a curated record
GCGUUUUAGAAUGAUUACUGGUGGCCAGCGGAGAGGCAGAUUAUACAGCUCUACACAACUGUUGUUUUAAUCCCCCGGACGAGGAGAUUUAGCAAAGAAAAAACACUGGUUUUAAACCCAGCAGCCAUAUUGCAUGGAAAAAACGACGGGAAGACUCAUCUAUUUCAUAAAAAGUCGUUUUCUCGGACAUCUCUGUCAGGACUUUUGGGAAGUUAAUUUCUUUUUUUUUUUUUUUUUUUACUGGCUGUUUGUUUCUACCGGACAGCUAGCCUGCCAGCUGGCUGAGGAAUUCAGAGAUUGAGACUGGGUUUUUUUUUUUUGUAAAGCUAUUUUGCACAUAUAUUGUAGUGAUCUGUCUUGGUCCAAAGGUGCAAAACUAACAGUGUAAAGAUGAAGGACCGAUUGGAGCAACUUAAAGCGACGUGUGAUCAAGAUGACGACGAGGUGGAGAUCGCUGUGGACAACGCUGCCUUCAUGGACGAGUUCUUCUCUCAGAUCGAGGACAUCAGGAACAGUAUUGAUAAAAUUGACGAGAAUGUCGCUGAAGUCAAAAAGCUUUACUCCAUCAUCCUGUCUGCUCCCACAUCAGAUCAGAAAACACAGGAUGACUUGGAAGCAAUCACCAAUGACAUAAAGAAGAUGGCCAACAAUGCAAGAAACAAACUCAAGACCAUCGAGAGGAAUCUGGAGUCUGAGGAGCAGGAGAGGGUGUCUGCUGACAUGCGGAUACGUAAAUCACAGCAUGCAGUGCUGUCAAGGAAGUUUGUGGAGGUAAUGACAAAGUAUAAUGAAGCCCAGGUGGACUUCAGAGAGAGGAGUAAAGGACGUAUUCAGAGACAGCUAGAAAUCACUGGGAAAGCAACAACAGAUGAUGAACUGGAGGAGAUGUUGGAGAGUGGCAAUGCAGCAGUGUUUACUGCCGGGAUUGUCGACUCUGGCAUCUCUAAACAAGCCCUAAGUGAGAUUGAAGCCAGACACAAAGACAUUGUGCGCCUGGAGAGCAGCAUCAAGGAGCUCCAUGAUAUGUUUGUAGACAUUGCCAUGCUUGUGGAGAGCCAGGGUGGAAUGAUCGAACGGAUCGAGAGCAACAUGGACCAAUCGGUGGGCUUCGUGGAGCGUGCUGUAGCGGACACUAAAAAAGCCGCAAAGUUUCAGCAGGAGGCUCGCCGUGUGAGUGAACACAGCAGGGAAAAGAGCGGGCCUGUUUCCCAAAAGCAACAGAAAUGUCUGUAUUAUAGUUUACAGAAACAAAACCGUGAUGGCCUUGAGAUGGAUACUAUUCAAAUUUCCAUUCAGAUUGUGUUAGGUUUAAUAGGUGGUACAAAGAAGGUUCAUGCCGAGGGCAAAGACUGAGAAAGACUCAAGGUCACAAGUCUGACACAGUGGUAGAGUAUCAUAAAGUGAAACAAUCUUUAGCCACAACACAGUGUGACAUAUUAGGUAAGGCAAUGUGUCAGCUGAGCACACUUUCAAAGUUGAUCAUUUUGGAACACAGACUUCCUAUAUCUAUGUUUCCCUUUUUAACUAUGACGGGAAAAGAUCAAAUGGAGAUGGAAAUUCUGCCCCCGCUGUGAAAUAUUGUAGCAUCUACUCAGCCUUCGAACUCGUGCAUCUGCAACUCAACCUAGUCGUGCUAGAUCGCAUGUCCUAGUUUCACCAGGACUGACGACAGCACAAUGUCCACCCUUGUUUGUUAAAGGUGGAUAAAAAGGCUUUUGGGAAACUUGCCUGACAACAAGGAGACUGUUGACAUCAUCAAAACCCUGAUCAUCACCACGUGGCCCCAAAUCCCUCUUGGCUCCUCUGUUCCUGAGUGUCCUCCGCUCUGUGGCCUGUUGGACCCCCGUGCUUUUAAAAAAACCCCACUGACCUGACCAUCACCACAACCCCUCCCACCCAACUUACACUUAGACAUACACACACAACAACAGCAUACACGCACUCUUUUUCUCUCUGCCUCUUCUCUUCAGUCUUAACUUUUUUAUUUUAUUUUACAGCUAGCUCAUGACGACUGCAUAUUUCUUUUUGUUGUGUGAAUGUGUUUGACGACAUCACAGGUUAGCUCACGCCUGUUACACGCAUGUCUGUGAAAAUAACUUUUCUAUUUCCAGAUUAGCAUCGGGUCAACACUGCUAGACCAACGUUUAACUGGACUAUCCUUACUGGAUUGUUACUUCAGUGGCAUAAUGAAACACUGAGUUUGUGCAAGUUACCAAGCUACCAAACUAGUUCUUGAUAUUUGGUAUAGCCAUUGUUUUUGUAUGUUCCCUCAUACAAAACUACUAGUUACAGUAUGUGACAUGCUGUACUUGAUUUCAUAAUGAACGCAUUCAUGAAGGAUACAGUUUUGUUCAUGUUUCCCACCAACGAUGACCCUGAUGAGUCUGUGUGCACUUUGUUGUUCCCAACAGAAAACUGUGAUAAUAGUGGUGGUUGUGGUGAUCUUACUGGCCGUACUAGCUCUCAUUAUCGGGUUGUCAGUGGGAUUAAACUGAAGCUGAUGAGCUAGUUGAACAAGAGAGCUAAAGAAGAAGAUCAUUAUUGGAGAAUCCUGUGCUGUGGAUAUUCUCGUCAUCCUCAUUCUCAUCGACCUCACCCUCCAACCCACCUCAGUUAGUUCGUCCAGCACUCAAUCCUGUCAUCCAUCAGCCAGCUGACCAAAUAGCAAACCAAAUGAUUCUGAUCUCUUCCUUCUGGAGGUCUAGGGCUUCAUAUGACCUCUGCUGUAACAGAAUACUUACGAGGCCUGACUCGACUUUAAAACUUUUUGACCUUUGUCCAAUCAGAACAGUCCUUUGGGGUCUUUGAGUUUCUCUUUGACUCCCUUUUAAGUGGCUCGGACAGUUUGAGGAUGCUCUGCUGCAGAAGAGAAAACGAGAGUGAAGCUGACAUGAGGUAGAAAAAAACCUGUUGUAUCUCUGCGGAGAGGAAAAGGGAAUUGAAAAUAACUGAUUGAAUGUCUCUCCACUCUCCCUAAACAUUUCAUUGUCAAAGAACCUUCUUCUUCAUCGUCAUUUCAUGCCUUAAUGAGCCUUGAAACAUUGUGUGAUUGAAAAGCUAGCUACUGUAUGUUCACUGUAUCUGGAUUUUUGGGAAGUUCCAGCACUUUCACGUUUCAAAAUAAAUCUUACUCCUGUAAUUAUGUUUAGAUUAUGAUGUAAAUUAUAUCAGUUUUUAAACUUGAAGAAUACUGUUGUUUCUGAAGGUGUGACUACAAUGAUGGAAACAUUUCAUGAGACAGGUGGAGCUAAGAUGAGCAAAAAUCACACAAAAUCCAGGUGUGGGGGGAUGAACACGCAUGCCUUGCUUUAUGAUUUAUCUAACCACUACAUCAUCUGAGAGAAAUGCCAGAAUUUCCGUUUUUGUAGCUUUGCUCACGUCACGUCCUAAUGUCAGCCAUCUGAACUUUUUACACAUAAAAGGCGUUAGAAAGUGUUCUAAAGCCUGAUGGUGUGAAGUAACACUCAACCUUUUUCCUUCCAGUGCCAGAUUAGUCUUUGCGUUUAUUUAACUGCUAAUGACGUUUUGCAAAUAAAGGUGCACAUACAAUAAAAAGUGUAAAUGGACAUUCCAACAUACAGCAAGGCCUUCCAUUGCUCUUAAAUACUGGAGUAUUUUUCCUGCCAUAUUUCGAGUACAUACAGUCUAAGCGAACUGCCUUGCAUUAAGUCUGCAUGUUCACGAAGGUUAUAAAGUUAUUUUUUUGAGAUAUGUUGCUGUGGAGAUAUGUUGGCAACACUUCAUGGACACUUUAGAGGCAGCAGUUUGUGAUGCUUUUGAAUUGUGUUGCAUAACAACAAAGAGGUGUCAAAUAGUUUUUCACCACGUAUACUGAUAUGAACAGAACAAAGUUCCCAUAGAAAUAGAAAAAAGUAUAACCCCAUAAAAAGACCAUGAAUUUUAAACAGCACUUUUAAGUAGUAAAACCUGAACAUAAUAACCAUCUCCGAUAAAGUCAGGCAGAUUCUAUCACGUAUGGCUUUUGUUUCAGACUGCAAAUGCAAAACGGUUCCUUCUGGUUGAUCAUCUUUCACUGCCUUACAGUCCAUUAUUGUCAGUCAAGAAGGGGUUAAAUGAUUUGCACCUCCACUGAGAGAAGUCUUUGUUUCUGUCAGAUCCCAGUUUGAAUGGGGCUUUUAAUGCUGCUUGUUUGGGGAGCACUUGAAAGUGAGAGGCCUCCCUCAGCUUGCUCUUUUGACCACACAGUCUGCUCUUUUUGGCUCCUGUUCUUAACCAUUCAGUCCUAAUGUUUCUGUACACCCCCUUUUAUGUUUUCUUCACACCACUUUAGCAGUGAGCACGUGCUGCAGUAACACAAUGAGAAGCUGAGGAUGUUGUACAGUGUAAAUGUUAAAUUAAGAUGAUUUUAAAGGAAAAUAAAGAUGCUAUGUUUUUUAA